RNAcentral lists this ribosomal RNA (253 nucleotides) under uncultured bacterium. Its description in RNAcentral is "partial 16S ribosomal RNA". It matches the Rfam family "Bacterial small subunit ribosomal RNA", at positions 524 to 776 of the family's 1533-position model. The record is from RNAcentral.
UACGAAGGGGGCUAGCGUUGCUCGGAGUCACUGGGCGUAAAGCGCACGUAGGCGGAUUGUUAAGUCGGGGGUGAAAUCCUGGAGCUCAACUCCAGAACUGCCUUCGAUACUGGCGAUCUUGAGUCCGGGAGAGGUGAGUGGAACUCCGAGUGUAGAGGUGAAAUUCGUAGAUAUUCGGAAGAACACCAGUGGCGAAGGCGGCUCACUGGCCCGGUACUGACGCUGAGGUGCGAAAGCGUGGGGAGCAAACAGG